GAUCAUGGCUCAGGAUGAACGCUGGCUACAGGCUUAACACAUGCAAGUCGAGGGGAAACGACGGGGAAGCUUGCUUCCCCGGGCGUCGACCGGCGCACGGGUGAGUAACGCGUAUCCAACCUGCCUCUGACCGAGGGAUAACCCGUCGAAAGUCGGCCUAAUACCUCAUGGCAUCGUCUGCGGGCAUCCAACGACGAUUAAAGAUUUCAUCGGUCAGGGAUGGGGAUGCGUCUGAUUAGCUUG
Molecule: ribosomal RNA, 243 nt
Filed under: uncultured bacterium
Lineage: Bacteria
Description: partial 16S ribosomal RNA
Rfam family: Bacterial small subunit ribosomal RNA
Source: RNAcentral